AACGAACGCUGGCGGCGUGCUUAACACAUGCAAGUCGAACGAACUUUUGUAGGCAGAAGCCUCGGCUAUAGAUUACUAAUGAGAGUGGCCCACGUGUGACUAACUCGUUCGCAACCUCUCUUUGACAUAGGGAUAGCGCCGGGCAGGCGGAAGUAUUACCGCCUUAAAUCGUAGCCACACAUGAUUUACCGGUUAAAGAUUUAUCGGUCAUAGAUGGGCUCGCGUCUGAUUAGCUAGUUGGUGAGGUAACAGCCCACCAAGGCGACGAUCAGUAGCCGGUCUGAGAGGAUGAACGGCCACAUUGGAACUGAGACACGGUCCAAACUCCUACGGGAGGCAGCAGUGGGGAAUAUUGCGCAAUGGGGGAAAGCCUGACGCAGCGACGCCGCGUGAAUGAAGAAGGUAUUAGUAUUGUAAAAUUCUGUCACAUGGGAAGAUAAUGACAGUACCAUGGGAAAAAGCCCCGGCUAAAUACGUG
Molecule: ribosomal RNA, 478 nt
Filed under: uncultured bacterium
Lineage: Bacteria
Description: partial 16S ribosomal RNA
Rfam family: Bacterial small subunit ribosomal RNA
Source: RNAcentral